GUCGCUCGGCUACCGCGCCAUGCUGUCAUCGUGUGGUAUCUGUUCGUAUCAGCUUAACAUCUGAUAGAUCCUCCAUCGGAGGACAACAAAUGUUAAACUGAUUUUUGGAAAUGGGCGGAGUGUUUUAGGGGCGGCUUGCUCCACCUCUGCCACGGGUUGGCCCGGUAUUGCAGUACCGCCGGGAUUUCGGCCUUGAAUAA
Anastrepha obliqua is the source of this 200-nucleotide small nuclear RNA. RefSeq annotates it as U2 spliceosomal RNA. The transcript has a single exon. The record is from RefSeq and is a predicted model, not a curated record. Lineage: Eukaryota; Metazoa; Arthropoda; Insecta; Diptera; Tephritidae.